RNAcentral lists this microRNA precursor (69 nucleotides) under Dipodomys ordii (Ord's kangaroo rat). RNAcentral's name for it is "miRNA (ENSDORG00000020102.2)". Lineage: Eukaryota; Metazoa; Chordata; Mammalia; Rodentia; Heteromyidae. The record is from RNAcentral.
GGGAGGUUGCGCGUGCGCGUUGAUGUUCGUGGUGACUGCACGAUACACGGUCGACCUCUCUUCCGUGUC